Long non-coding RNA from Raphanus sativus (radish), 364 nucleotides. RefSeq lists it as uncharacterized. The record is from RefSeq and is a predicted model, not a curated record. Lineage: Eukaryota; Viridiplantae; Streptophyta; Magnoliopsida; Brassicales; Brassicaceae. The transcript has 2 exons.
ACAAUCACUAACACCAGCUGUAUAGAACACAGCAAUCUUUUACUGCCAGUGACAAAAAGGGAACACCGAAAGACGGAUUUAAGGAAACCAGUGUGAUAGCAGAAGUGGCUGAAGAGAUAUCACAAAACGGUGUUGCAGAAGUUGCCAGCGCAUGGUGAAUCUUAUGCUGAGUGCAGCAGCAAGCUGCUUACUUUAUCUUGGGUGGUUUUUUUUGUCCGUUUUCACCACCUAAUUUGCUCACUCUUUCUUAGGAGUUUGGUUUUCUUUUGGUAGUUGGGUUUUGAAGAUGUAGAAGAUAUAUAAGUAAAAAUGAUUUUGAAGGCUAUAUAUAUAUAUAUAUAUAUUCUUAUAAAUUCAAUGCAAA